This 400-nucleotide ribosomal RNA is filed under the name uncultured bacterium. RNAcentral describes it as "bacterial SSU rRNA". It matches the Rfam family "Bacterial small subunit ribosomal RNA", at positions 355 to 755 of the family's 1533-position model. The record is from RNAcentral.
UGAGGAAUAUUGCACAAUGGGCGCAAGCCUGAUGCAGCGACGCCGCGUGUGGGAUGAAGGGGCUAUGCCUCGUAAACCACUGUAGCCCGGGACGAAAAACAUCUUAGAGGUGUUAGACGGUACCGGGAAAGUAAGGGUCGGCUAACUACGUGCCAGCAGCCGCGGUAAUACGUAGGACCCAAGCGUUGUCCGGAUUUACUGGGUGUAAAGGGUGCGCAGGCGGAUGGGUAAGUCAGAGGUGAAAGUCUGCAGCUUAACUGUAGAAUUGCCUUUGAUACUGCUCGUCUUGAGUGUGGGAGAGGUUGAUGGAAUUCCAGGUGUAGCAGUGAAAUGCGUAGAUAUCUGGAAGAACACCAGUGGCGAAGGCGGUCAACUGGCCCAUUACUGACGCUCAUGCACG